AAGAAAAAGGAAACUAAACAUUCACUUGUACUAUGAUUCAUUUUUGAUCAUAUACAUUACGUUCAUCUUGUUCAUUUUCGAAUUCCUUACAUUUCAUUUCAUCAUUUAUUUCCUACAUCAUAUUUACCUCAAAAUACACAUUACAUUCUUUUCUUUACAUUAUUUACCAUCAUGUACAAAAGAUGAUCAUAGGGUACUUUACUACAAAAUAAAACCCAACUUUGGUGGCCUCUGACUAAGGCGCGAUACCUUUACCUCGGUCGCUCGCCGGCUCGCUCGGUCCCGACUCUGUGGAAAUAGUGGGGUGAGAACUACAACAAGUUCCCAGUGGGUUCGGCCAACAUCACCGACUUUCCCACUAGAACUAACUCAGGCAUAAUAGAAAGGAUAAGCUGAAAUAUAGUAACCAAUCUACAACAUGAUGCUAAUAUGCCUGAACAAAAGCAAGGAAUAUGCUCAAUAUUAACAUAUGCAGAUUAUGCAAGUUCUUUCGUUCUUUAUCUUUACACUUUGUUCUUGUUCUUUGCUCUUUGUUCUUUAUUCUUUAAUCU
This 551-nucleotide long non-coding RNA is filed under the name Ananas comosus (pineapple). RNAcentral describes it as "long non-coding RNA (ACOM_LNC016587)". The record is from RNAcentral. Lineage: Eukaryota; Viridiplantae; Streptophyta; Magnoliopsida; Poales; Bromeliaceae.